GGAUUAGAUACCCUGGUAGUCCACACCGUAAACGAUGUCUACUAGCUGUGUGUGUCUUUAAGAUGUGCGUAGCGAAGCAAACGCGAUAAGUAGACCGCCUGGGGAGUACGGUCGCAAGAUUAAAACUCAAAGGAAUUGACGGGGGCUCACACAAGCGGUGGAGCAUGUGGCUUAAUUCGAAACAACGCGAAGAACCUUACCCAGGUUUGACAUACAUGGAUGCAAUUUGGGGAUAACCCGAAACGCUGCUCUUCGGAGUGAAACAUGUACAGGUGCUGCAUGGCUGUCGUCAGCUCGUGUCG
RNAcentral lists this ribosomal RNA (302 nucleotides) under uncultured bacterium. RNAcentral's name for it is "bacterial SSU rRNA". It matches the Rfam family "Bacterial small subunit ribosomal RNA", at positions 775 to 1067 of the family's 1533-position model. The record is from RNAcentral.